This 253-nucleotide ribosomal RNA is filed under the name uncultured bacterium. RNAcentral's name for it is "partial 16S ribosomal RNA". It matches the Rfam family "Bacterial small subunit ribosomal RNA", at positions 524 to 776 of the family's 1533-position model. The record is from RNAcentral.
UACGGGGGGAGCAAGCGUUGUUCGGAUUUACUGGGCGUAAAGGGCGCGUAGGCGGUUCGUUAAGUCCUGUGUGAAAUCCCCCGGCUCAACUGGGGAACUGCACAGGAAACUAGCGGGCUUGAGUUCGGGAGAGGGAAGCGGAAUUCCGGGUGUAGCGGUGAAAUGCGUAGAUAUCCGGAGGAACACCGGUGGCGAAGGCGGCUUCCUGGACCGACACUGACGCUGAGGCGCGAAAGCUAGGGGAGCAAACGGG